Non-coding RNA from Ceratotherium simum simum (southern white rhinoceros), 360 nucleotides. The record is from RefSeq and is a predicted model, not a curated record. Lineage: Eukaryota; Metazoa; Chordata; Mammalia; Perissodactyla; Rhinocerotidae.
GGAGGCAGAAGAAUGGAAGCCAAGUGGAGCCUGGAGGAUAAAGCAGGAGCAUGGAGGGUCCAUGGAGGGGUUAGACGGGGCCCACGGAUGGCAGUGCAAUGGCAAGGUGCUUUGAUGUAUGAUAAAAGUAUGUUGAGGAUAUUUUGGCCUGUGGGAUCAACAAGCCCAGCGUGGUCAUGUAAUUUCUCCUAAAACGUGCUUCCUGGUUAUUGGCCUAUAAUUAUGUAAACAGCCUCUUCCUUUUCCCCUGUUAUCUAGAAGCUUUGCUCACUGGGAGGCAAUCAAGUAGUCCUUCUGGAUCCAAAAUGAGGUUUCAAACAGAUCCCAAGUGAAAUUUCCAAAGAACUUCCAGCUCAGUUG